This 261-nucleotide unclassified non-coding RNA is filed under the name fungal sp. RNAcentral's name for it is "partial internal transcribed spacer region". The stretch from base 1 to 46 matches the Rfam family "Eukaryotic small subunit ribosomal RNA", at positions 1786 to 1831 of the family's 1831-position model. Lineage: Eukaryota; Fungi. The record is from RNAcentral.
AAGUCGUAACAAGGUUUCCGUAGGUGAACCUGCGGAAGGAUCAUCAAUGAAAAAAUCCAGCCAAAAAAACUUGGGCAUUCUAGCCUGGUUGGUUGUCAUUUUUGACAUCAAGUUGGUCUAAUUUUUUAGACCAGGGAAUUGACGGAAAAAAAAUUAGACCAGGGAAUUGGUCAAGGUAAAAUUUUAGGUUCAAGUCUAACUUGACCUAACAUUUACACUAGAAAAAAAAACAACUUUCGGCAACGGAUCUCUCGGCUCUCC